UGUGGAGCAGACUGCCUCAUGGAGAGGUGAGUUCCCUGUCAGUGGAAGCAAAUAAGAAGAGGCGUGCUGAGUUGCAGAGGAGACUCCUGCAUGAGUGUGAAGAUGCGUGGUGGGGAAGUCACAGUAGCAGGAUCUUGAGGCAGUUGGACACAUUGUAUCCACGGUCAGGAAGCAGAGGAGAGCCAGACUUCACACUGAGCAGCUGCGGUGGAGAAAUCAGAGAACGCGCCACCCAGCCCUAGAUUCCAAGGAGCCUGCUGGGGACUCCCUCCUCCUCCUCCUCCUCCUCCUCCUCC
This is a long non-coding RNA of Nannospalax galili (Upper Galilee mountains blind mole rat), 296 nucleotides long. RefSeq lists it as uncharacterized. NCBI's taxonomy places the organism in Eukaryota, Metazoa, Chordata, Mammalia, Rodentia, Spalacidae. The transcript has 3 exons. The record is from RefSeq and is a predicted model, not a curated record.